UAUUUUACCGUGGGAAAGAAACAUACGUUGAAAUUGUUUUUCUUUCGUGCGAGAUAAAUUUCCUAAUCCUUGAGCGUCUUUCUCGUGCGGAGACACUGUCAUCAAACAGCUGUUACAAUCGCAUUAUGAUAUCAUGCACAAUGUUGCGCUACGUUUAUGCCAAUUUAAACAAAUGAAAUAAUUUUCCAGGAAAUUACAUAUGCGAGGUGAGAGAAAAAUCGUAAAACACUCUGGUGGUGUCCCUACCACUUUUUACCUGUGGGGGAAUCGGUAUAGAUUAUCGCAGUCAAAUGCGAAGCUUCAAUGACCACAAAUAAUGGUCUGUAUUAAGAAGCGGUUCUUCAACCCCAGUCGGCUACUUAUGCUCCCUUUUGGCUUGUGGCUUGAUGAGGAAACGAUAUUCACUCGUUUUCAGGCAACAGUGCUUUGCAGUCUUCUGAUAAGCAGUAUUUUAUUUCAGCUCUCAAGACUUUUUAUUGCAGACUGUAACUUUGACUUUGUUGUCAGAAUAUUCUCCUCCGCAACAUUCUAUGCCAUGCUCACGAUUCCGCCCAUCUUAUUUUGGACUCGUAUGAAAACUAUGAAAUAUUUCUUCGACCAACUGCAAUACAUCUAUGACCGGCUAAAGGAUAGAAACGAAAUUGCUAUUUACGACAAAUAUGGAUACAUUGCAAAACAAUUUACGAUUAUACUAAUAAUACUUCUUGUAUGCUGCCUGUUUGGCAAUUCUGUCAUAGUAUACUGGCCGUACAUUUUUGACAUCAUUAUACCGAAAAAUGAGUCUUAUGCAAUUCAUACCAUGCAAUUUGUGACCAAGUACUUCAAAGUCUCAGAGAAGUAUUAUUUUUUAGUUGUUGUGCAUUUGAAUGCAGCCUGUACUACAGGGUUAAUUGUAUUAGCAGGGACGGGAACAAUAUGUUUUUCGUAUACGCAACAUAUCUGCGGUAUGUUUGAAAUUGCCAGCUAUCGUAUUGAACAAGCAAUGACGACCGAGUUGUUAUAUAACUUUGAUAUAAAGAAUAGAAUUGUGAUAUCCAGAAAGAUGAUAUUUGCUAUAGAUAUACAACGCCAAGCUAUGCAGUUCGCUAAACAUUUUGUAACUAGUAUUGAAGGAGCACUUUUUAUUAUGGUAUUAACUACUGUGCUUUGCGUGAGUUGCAAUCUUACUCAAGUAUUUCUAAUUCAGUCACUUGCGGAGAAAAUGGAGGAAACAAUAUUACAUCUUUCGGCUGUAGGGUUCAUUCUCACGACUAUGUUCCUAACCAGUUAUGCUGGGCAAGAAAUUACAGAUCAUAGUAAUCACUUAUAUGUAAUUACAUACAACGUUUCAUGGUACUUAGCACCGUUACACAUACAGAAAAUGAUAUUGCUUCUAUUACAAAGAAGCAAUAAAAUUUUCACCCUGAGUGUCGGUGGAUUAUUUACAGGAUCUUUAGAAUGUUUCGCUACAGUAAAGCUAUUUCAUUUAUUUAUACGUAUUGUUGAAGCAACUAAUCGCAUAAGAGUGAGCGUGACUAUCUGACCAAUGAGAUGUCGGUUCACUUGGCACGAUGAAGAAGAAACUCAUGUAACUUUUAUGGAAGUAUUGUGCGCGUUCUUCUCGUUUUAACGUAUUAUUAUAUUUGUUAUAAAAGCAUGCAAAACUUGCUCCAACACAUAUAACAUACAUUGAUUAUGUAUAUUACACAUAUUCUGGUGAGUGCAUCAGUAUCUUACUUCACCUUCAUGUUCUCCAUGCAGUAAUAACGGACAGAUAGAUUGUCUGAUAGUAUA
Molecule: RNA transcript, 1773 nt
Organism: Ooceraea biroi (clonal raider ant)
Lineage: Eukaryota; Metazoa; Arthropoda; Insecta; Hymenoptera; Formicidae
Source: RefSeq, a predicted model, not a curated record